UCGGUGCAGAGCCCCAGGCACCACUGCAGUUCAUGAAUGUGCUGGUCCGUCUGCUGACUCACCUGGUUGAAGGAUGGCAGCAACCUCACUUCAGCCUCUCUGGAUCCCACCCUUUACCUUCUCUGAGGCCAGGCCCGGCAAGUGGGCAGCUGUGCCCAAGGACAAAGCCUUCUGUUCAGUCACAAUGUCAGAGUUAGAUGCACCGACAGAGCUGGAUUCCAGAUUGUCCUCAUGGGGUACAGUGUCCUGUGGAUCAAGUUUAUUCAUGCUUCUCUUCACUUUGUGUUUAGACUUUUUUUUUCCCCAAAUGCCUGUCUUUCUGACUCAUUGUGACAUCAAGCCCAUCACAAGGAGAGAGGCAACAGCGUUCAGGACACUUCUUCCUGGUCCUUGGAAUGAACUGGAAUAUGAAGGAUGCAAAGCAUCAGUUUAUGCAGAGCUGACCUCCUUCAAAACUUCACUUGAACAAGGCUAAGUGCACUUCUUUUUUUGAGAAAUAUUUACAUUCUGAAAAGAAAGAGAACAAAUGAAGUAUAUUUUAAACCAAGCAUGGAAACAUUAAAAAUCACAAAGGCCUCCACAUGAAGCAAAAUACUUUCUUGUGGUUAAGCAAUAUAGUACUAUUUGAAAAAUAUAUAUCUCAUUAAGAUCCAGCCAUGAAAGGGAGAACAAAAGAGGAAAAUGCCUUGAACAGAAUAACUCUCAACAGAUGGAUAUUGAUUACUAGAGAGCCAGUGAACAACACACCAGGCAGCAAAAGCAGCUCUCCUACGGCCAUGUCACGUGCACGGCUGAAAUGCAAGAUCUCGGAAGCUGCAGCAGAUCAGCUGAAGCUGAGUGCAGGUGAAAGACACUCUUACUGAAGUGCCGUCAUUAGCCCUGUUACAACCUAGAAGCUAAAGGCCGGGUCAGGCCUCGGCAUAUGGACAACACUAUAAGAAGGACUAAGACACAAUCUCUCUCAUGUGUGGAAAACAGUAAAGAUAAGCAGGCCGCCUCUAAGAGAAGUGAGUUUGCUUUAUCUCGGCCUGUGCUCUGAAGUCCGAGAGGUUGUCUGAGGGGGAGAAAUGCCCAGGGCGGUGCAGGCACAAGGGCACGGGGUGGAAACCCCCAAACCCUCUCCUCCUUCAACCAGAGAAACUCUAGCUAAUGUCUUUUAUGUGUUUGGUUUCUCUAAAGAUUUUGUUUGAAGAAAGGCUUCAGAGGCUAGGUUUGUUUUUUUCUUUCUUUGAGAGCACUCGUGUAGACAGCAUAAUGCCCGGAAACCUAUUCAAAACAUUAAAACGUAAACAGGUAAUAUUUUCUAACCUCUUUACAUCUUACACAACUGGGACCAUGAAUCUUAGGAGAGGCAAAUUGAGGAGACACAGGGGGAGAGUCAUUCCUCACAUCCUUGCGCUGCGUAUGCAAGUGUACUUCUAAAAUGUUUACAACUUUGUACGAAAGAAGACAAAAGUUGCUAUUAACUUGCAGAACUUUCUUUCCCCAGAAAGUAGAAAAUGAUAUUCAGAAUCAUAAAAAUAAAC
This 1526-nucleotide long non-coding RNA is filed under the name Equus caballus (horse). RNAcentral's name for it is "lncRNA (ENSECAG00000029245.3)". Lineage: Eukaryota; Metazoa; Chordata; Mammalia; Perissodactyla; Equidae. The record is from RNAcentral.